GUACACACAAAAAGGGACUGGCUAGUCAAACAAAGAGGCUGGGAUGGGUUUGUGGAGUUCUUCCACGUAGAGGAUCUAGAAGGCGGCAUCAGAAAUGUGCUGCUGGCUUUUGCAGGUGUUGCUGGAGUAGGAGCUGGUUUGGCAUAUCUAAUAAGAUAGCCUUGUAAGUGCAAUAGUUGACUGUUAAACAACCCCAGGCGCCAAAACAUUAUACUUCUGUGAAAGCAAAGUAUUUAUGAAGCUGGUGGGCUUGAAGCUGUCCAAGCAGCAACUUCAAAGAGGCCAGAAAGCAAGAACAUGAUGGCUGCCAGUCAUGGGAGAAGAAGUCCCCUUCAAGAGCCACAGUGUGAAAGAAGCAAAGUGCAGUUUCAGCAACAAACUGUGAGACUGUGAAAGACUUCGAGAUGUAGCGAAGGUGAUAGGGUGGAAAGACUUGAUUUCUUUGUGUAAAGCCAGAGGAGUGGCCAGUAGCCAGCUAGUCAUAAAAGUCAUUAAAUAUACCCACCAAGUCAUCAAUUGUCUCCUGUCAAAGAAGCACUAACAAUGCUAGUGACUUGUGCAUAAAGUGGAUUUAAGCUACAAGGAGUUGAACUCUGACCACACGCCUCAGUGCGGUGGAGCAGCAUGUGAAGGGCAGCUUUUCCUCUGUAAUUCACUUCCCCAGUGUACUUCUUGAGUAGACCAACAAUAGUUAGAAAUAUGGAAUAGUCUCAGUUUUUAAAACAAAAGUAACUUGUAUUUGUCUGUAAAAAUUGUAUAUAUUUUUACAGAAAGUAUUUGGACAAAGUAUAUCAAAUUAACAGUAGUUUUUUUCAUACCCUUUUGAAGUUUGCAACUUCUGUAGUUAGCAAUCUAUUUCUUACAGCUUUUCUAUUCAGAGCUUUGUCCUGGUCAGUUCUAGAAUGUAUACAGAACUAACUAAAGUUAUGUGUAUGCAGCCUGGUUGUACUGGAACAAAUCUGAUUCAUAACUAUGCAGGGUUUAAUUUUCCAGUCUGAUUUUGGUAAAUAUUCCUUAUAUGGCUUCUGGGGGAGGGUGGGCUGAUAUCUUAAAAAUAGUGGGCUCUGAUUAGACAACUUAUGAGUUCUUAAAUCUGACCUCGUUUAACUUAUACAAUUUAAAACUGAAUUCAUGAGCUCAUCUUUAAAGCUUUCACUGAACAAUUUUCAGCUGUUCCAAGUGAGCAUUGUGUGUGAGAGACAUUUGAUUCCUUGUUUUAAUUUGUAAAGUGAUGGCUUGCAAAAGCAGGCCAGGGUCUAAUGGUGCUAAUUAAUACUGGGCUUGCUUGUUAAACACAGGUUUAAGCCUAGUAUGCAAAUAAAAGAAAUACUUAACAAGUUUCUUUUCUAUUAAUGAUUACCAAGCUUUGUUUUGAAAUGUGCAUUGGCAUCUCUGGGUCUGAGACCAAAUCUGAAUUUACUGUAUUUUCUGUCCUUUGAAGUACGUGCUGCUAGUUCUGCUCCCUCUGCGGAUACUUAGAUCCAGUUCUACAUCAUUGCUCGGCCUUCUUUUGAACUCUUUAUCUGCCCUUUUAAUGUUCAGCACUAUGCACCCCUACUGGGAACCUAAUUAGCCCACCCCACCCUCCCAGUUAACAGCCCUUCAUCUAUCAUGGGUUUUGUCCCUCGGGAGAUAGGGAUACCAUGGGUGUUGUGACAUAACAGUCAUGGGAUGGGAGGAACUCCUUCCCUGGUAUCUUGCAGUUGCUUUAGCCUAUCUUUAGGAAGAAUUCAAAAAUCCUGUUAGAAAUUUUCAGAGAGGUAACGUGGCUUUCUAAAAUAUUUGCAUUUGAAUAUGCUCACUUAAAUUUCUGUUAAGAGGUGGGCUGUGUUAAACCUGAAAGUUAUUUAGAAGCUGUUGGAAAACUGCAGAAAGCUGCUGUGUUGAAGCUAGAGUCAUUUGAAAGCUUCAGUCUCCAUGGGACCUUUAGUCUGCACACCAGAUAAAAAUAGGCAUAAAGUGACUAAGAAUGUAGCAGGGAAAAAUGCCCUGCCUGUCCUCGGAGCCAUAAAGUCAUCUUGCUAGAGCUAUUUUACCUAUGUAUUUAUCCUUGUUCACAGGCCACUUAUUUAUAUCAUGUCUUCUCUUAACCUAAAAGCACUUUAUGUAGUUUUUAACCUUACAAUCUGGUUAAGGUGACUAAAAAAACCUUCCCGUACCUGUUGUGAAAAUGAGUGUGAAUUAAUUGGUGUGCAGGAGCCUGGCUUCGUGAAGGCUGAAGUGUAAGAGGAAUCUCAGUGGAUGGUUUGGGUCCAGGGCAGUGAGGGUUUGCAGAGCCCAAGAGAUUGGGGAAAGGGAUGUGUGGGGGAAGGGUGGGGGAUUACAGUUGAUUUACUGGAAGAAGAGGCACGUGGUCUUGUAAAGUGCUGACUGGUUGUGUAGUUCAGAGAGAAUCUUCCAAAAUGGGAAGGGAGGGGCUGCUUGGAUAGUGCUCAGUGACUUCUGUUUGUCUUAUGCUUCUCUCAGGGAAAAAAUACGCAGUCCUCCAGAGGUGGUGGGAUACAUUUAAUUGGGAAGGGUGAACACCUUGGUUUCACAGCUAUGCCAGGAAAGAGUAGGACCAACGACAAAUUAAUGAGCUGUAAAAUGUAGUGUCUUUCCCUAACUUCCUGUUCUUCCUGAGGGGAAAAAAAAAUAAAUCUUUUCAAAUUAA
Molecule: long non-coding RNA, 2653 nt
Organism: Octodon degus (degu)
Lineage: Eukaryota; Metazoa; Chordata; Mammalia; Rodentia; Octodontidae
Exons: 2
Source: RefSeq, a predicted model, not a curated record